Molecule: long non-coding RNA, 1795 nt
Filed under: Homo sapiens (human)
Lineage: Eukaryota; Metazoa; Chordata; Mammalia; Primates; Hominidae
Description: ZNF790 antisense RNA 1
Source: RNAcentral
AAUCCCCGCAGGCGCUGGGUCUGCAGAUGGCGUCCAGGUACACAGUGGCGAGUGUGAUUCCGCAGUCUUGGGCUGUUUGGCCAAGCGCCCGCCGGACAUGGUACGCCGAAGGGUCAUCGGCGUGGAGUCCUCGCUUUCAGCGUCCGCGGCUGGGAAAUCGGCCAUCGCUACGGCGGGAACUGGGACUCGGGCUGCGUCCCGGCCCUUCCACAUCGGUCCACCGCACUCGUGGGCGCCCGCAUUGGUGCUGACAUAAUUUCCUGACCUCUGACCCGUAUUGUCUCGCGAUUAAAGAGCUGCGCCUGGAUCCCUCAGCAGUGAGGAGACCUGAAGACCAGAGGAAACACAGCAAACGGAGCCUUGCUCUGUUGCCCAGGCUGGUGUGUAGUGAUCUCAGCUCACUGCAAGCUCCACCUUCCGGGUUCACACCAUUCUCCCACCUCAACCCCCGGAGUAGCUGGAACUACAGCCUCCUGCCACCACGCCUGGCUAAUUUUUUUUUUGUAUUUUUAGUAGAGACGGGGUUUCACCAUGUUAGCUAGGAUGGUCUCGAUCUGCUGACCUCGUGAUCCACCCGCCUCGGCCUCUCAAAGUGCUGGGAUUAAAGGCGUAAGCCACUGCGCCUGGCUGUUUUUUCAUUUCUAUUAUGAUUUGUCCUGUGGAAUGUCAGUGACUUAGCGGUAUUUUUAUCACACGUUUAUAAAGCUGAAUAGUUUUGUAUGUCAGCUCAGCACCCUUAGUGUCAGCCAUGCUAGUCUCCUGCUGUGCAUAGAUCGAGGCCUGUCCAUACCCGAAUCUCCUGGGUUCCCACUGUCAGCACCUGAAGGUACCCACCAGAUGUGUCUGUCACUUCCCUACAUCCACCUCUAUUGUGGUUCUCAUGUUUCUGCCUCCCUAGAGACCAUUUCUCUGUAGAGCAGCGCUUUCGAAUAGAAAUACAAUGCCAGACACAUAAGUUGUUUUAGAUUUUCUAGUAGUCACUUUAGAAAAGUUAAAAAGAAACAGGUGAAAUUAAUGUUUUAUUUCACCUAAAAUGUUAGCAUUAUCCAAAAUAUCACUUCAACAUCUUAUCAAAAUAAAAUUAUUAAUGAGAUUGGUUACCGUUCCGAUAAAUAGGUGAACUGAGAGCAUACACAGUAGUAUUCUGUUCUAAUUUCUGCUUCACUGUGAGUGUCUUGACAUAGUCUUAAAAGAGUAUUGCUGUGAAAUAUUAUACAUGUAACUCAUAACCUCUACAAUUCUGCAGUUGUAAUUGGUUGUCUUACCUAAUAAUCAGUUGCUUUGCUUCAUAAUAUUUAAAUUGGCAUCUCUAUUUUCCAAAAGGCAUAAAUACUAGUAUAGUUUUUUAGUUAAGCCAGGAGAAAGUUCACUUUAUUUACAUAACUUAUACGUAAAAAUUUAAUAAAUCUCCCUGCUUCUUUUCUUUUGCAUCAUAACAACCACUGAAAAUAAUAUUUCUAUGGCAGUUGGGGGUAAAUGGACAAUAGCUUUUGUGACCAGAGGUGAAUGGCCCAGGGUCUCCAGCACUCCAGGUCCCACUGAGCCUGCCCCACAGCUGAGGGCAUCGGUAUUUCCACACACCUAUAAUGUACAGUGCCCCAGAACAGAGAUCGGAUGCUCUGCUUUAUUCAGAUGGGGUGUUGAGAGUAUUGUCAUUGUAAUUGAAUUAGUAAGUAAGUAUUUAUACACUGUUAAAAUCUGGUUGGAUUUGUGUCCCUUCACAAAACAAAUUGCUUAAAUGAAACCACAGAGUUAACAUAAUUGACUACAUCUGCUUCUAUGAGCUGCUGUUCUA